Molecule: non-coding RNA, 503 nt
Organism: Cajanus cajan (pigeon pea)
Lineage: Eukaryota; Viridiplantae; Streptophyta; Magnoliopsida; Fabales; Fabaceae
Source: RefSeq, a predicted model, not a curated record
CAGUUACUUACAUUCUUUUCUUCCUAUUUUCAACACCAUUCCAAAAUUCCACUACACCUGUUCCCACCUGCACCAUUUCUAACCCUCCCUCAUUUCUGCACACAAUCCGCUACUUUUUCUUCCAUUUCCUGAUUUCCUACUUUUCCUAUUCUCGACAAACACUCAUAUUUACACUCUUUUUCACCUUUUAAGCUCCUCUGCUCUUCUGGGCACCGCUAAAGCAUACCACUCGAAUCCUUCAAGAGUGGAGCUUGAUAUGAUCAUUGAUAUUGUGGAGUAAGACCCUAUUAAUUUUGCAAAUGCUAAAUUUUGCUAGGACCAGAAGUCAGCCAAGGUCUACCAGAUCUCUGUCUUUGGGAGGCAUGGAUUAUGUGGAUCCAAAAAGGAAGAGCAAUUUUGUUGGAAAAGUUCUUCUUGCUGCAGCAUUAACAACACUAUGCAUUAUCGUGAUCACGAGAUCUCCAUCUUUGAAUUCCCCUAGUCCGGUACCCUAUAUUCUUAUG